This 303-nucleotide ribosomal RNA is filed under the name uncultured bacterium. RNAcentral's name for it is "partial 16S ribosomal RNA". It matches the Rfam family "Bacterial small subunit ribosomal RNA", at positions 507 to 807 of the family's 1533-position model. The record is from RNAcentral.
AGCAGCAGCCGCGGGAAUACGUAGGGUGCAAGCGUUAAUCGGAAUUACUGGGCGUAAAGCGUGCGCAGGCGGUUAUAUAAGACAGAUGUGAAAUCCCCGGGCUCAACCUGGGACCUGCAUUUGUGACUGUAUAGCUAGAGUACGGUAGAGGGGGAUGGAAUUCCGCGUGUAGCAGUGAAAUGCGUAGAUAUGCGGAGGAACACCGAUGGCGAAGGCAAUCCCCUGGACCUGUACUGACGCUCAUGCACGAAAGCGUGGGGAGCAAACAGGAUUAGAUACCCGCGUAGUCCCUGUCUCUUAUAC